Molecule: ribosomal RNA, 499 nt
Filed under: uncultured bacterium
Lineage: Bacteria
Description: partial 16S ribosomal RNA
Rfam family: Bacterial small subunit ribosomal RNA
Source: RNAcentral
GACGAACGCUGGCGGCGUGCCUAAUACAUGCAAGUCGAGCGAAGUUUUUCUGGUGCUUGCACUAGAAAAACUUAGCGGCGAACGGGUGAGUAACACGUAAAGAACCUGCCUCAUAGACUGGGACAACUAUUGGAAACGAUAGCUAAUACCGGAUAACAGCAUUAGCUGCAUGGUUGAUGUUUAAAAGUUGGUUUUGCUAACACUAUGAGAUGGCUUUGCGGUGCAUUAGCUAGUUGGUGGGGUAAAGGCCUACCAAGGCGACGAUGCAUAGCCGACCUGAGAGGGUGAUCGGCCACACUGGGACUGAGACACGGCCCAGACUCCUACGGGAGGCAGCAGUAGGGAAUCUUCCGCAAUGGGCGAAAGCCUGACGGAGCAACGCCGCGUGAGUGAAGAAGGAUUUCGGUUCGUAAAGCUCUGUUGUUAGGGAAGAAUGAUUGUGUAGUAACUAUACACAGUAGAGACGGUACCUAACCAGAAAGCCACGGCUAACUACGUG